RNAcentral lists this ribosomal RNA (253 nucleotides) under uncultured bacterium. RNAcentral describes it as "partial 16S ribosomal RNA". It matches the Rfam family "Bacterial small subunit ribosomal RNA", at positions 524 to 776 of the family's 1533-position model. The record is from RNAcentral.
UACAGAGGGAGCAAGCGUUAUUCGAAAUUAUUGGGCGUAAAGCGCGAGCAGGCGGUAAGGCAAGUCCUGUGUGAAAGCCUCGGGCUCAACCCGAGAGGGUCAUGGGAAACUGCCUUGCUAGAGUGCAAGAGAGGAGAGUGGAAUUCCCAGUGUAGUGGUGAAAUACGUAGAUAUUGGGAGGAACACCAGCGGCGAAAGCGGCUCUCUGGCUUGUUACUGACGCUCAUUCGCGAAGGCGUGGGGAGUAAACAGG